RNAcentral lists this ribosomal RNA (440 nucleotides) under uncultured bacterium. Its description in RNAcentral is "partial 16S ribosomal RNA". It matches the Rfam family "Bacterial small subunit ribosomal RNA", at positions 338 to 795 of the family's 1533-position model. The record is from RNAcentral.
CCUACGGGAGGCAGCAGUGGGGAAUAUUGCGCAAUGGGGGAAACCCUGAUGCAGCGACGCCGCGUGAGUGAAGAAGUAUUUCGGUAUGUAAAGCUCUAUCAGCAGGGAAGAAAAGGACGGUACCUGAUUAGGAAACCCCGGCUAACUACGUGCCAGCAGCCGCGGUAAUACGUAGGGGGCAAGCGUUAUCCGGAUUUACUGGGUGUAAAGGGAGCGUAGACGGCAGCACAAGUCUGGAGUGAAAUGCCGGGGCUUAACCCCGGAACUGCUUUGGAAACUGUGCAGCUAGAGUGCAGGAGAGGUAAGUGGAAUUCCUAGUGUAGCGGUGAAAUGCGUAGAUAUUAGGAGGAACACCAGUGGCGAAGGCGGCUGACUGGACUGUAACUGACGGUGAGGCUCGAAAGCGUGGGGAGCAAACAGGAUUAGAUACCCCUGUAGUC